Molecule: RNA transcript, 11184 nt
Organism: Diorhabda carinulata
Lineage: Eukaryota; Metazoa; Arthropoda; Insecta; Coleoptera; Chrysomelidae
Gene name: carboxypeptidase N subunit 2-like
Exons: 2
Source: RefSeq, a predicted model, not a curated record
AUAAACAUCAAAUGUAAGGGCAAAAUUCAUCUUUCUACUUCCAACUAAAAAUACAUUGAAAAACAUUAAUUUAGGCUUAAACAAAAUUUUUAUUAAAAAAUAUGUUUUGCCCUUGCAUUAGUAACUAGAUUAAAACGUGUGUUAUGUCUCCAAAAAAUUAGAGUCAGAAGAUUUGUAUUUUUCAUCUACGAAAAUAUAUCAAAUUUAACGUCAUUUCGAGUCAUAUUUCUUACUCAACUCAAAAAAGAACCAAAAUUGCUUUAGAAACUUUCAAAUAAUAAACAAAUAUGGAGCAUAGCAAUUUCCGGAACACUUAUUCGCAAUUAGGGAAAAUAUUAAAAAAGCCUUCUUAAAAAAUUGUUAAAAUUAAUUACAAUUCAUACUUUGAACUUUCAAAAGUAAUUCGUUGUGUUAACUGUGUUAAAUUUACUUCAUUAACUACAAGUACAUCAAAAAGUUGAUCCGAAAGAUAUGCGGAUGAUUUCAGGUUUUUUAUCAUCAUCAUCCCGAUUUUCUAAAAAUUAUCUUCCAGUAAAUCUUGACAAAAAUUGUUCCUCAAGGUUACCCUGACACAAUCCUCUAGAUUUUUAUGUGCGAAUAUUUGUUUCGACGCGAGAAUUCGCUAGGUGCUGAGUUAUUGUAUUGUUCGUUGUUUCGUUUGCCAUAUCUGGUAUUAUUUUGGAUUGCACCAUCAUGCUCAAUCUUUAAUCUCUUUAAUUUUUAAUCUCGUCUCGUCGAGUUUUGAGUUCAAGUACUUGGUAGUAGCUAUUUCUAGUGAAUUCAGCUACCUUGAGUGUGAAUGAGAAUUAUAACUGGAAAUUGGCAGCAUCUUGAAACGUUGCUCAUUCUGUGAGGCAGAAUUUCAUUUAUUUGCCUCAUUAACGGAGACGAUCGGAGACACAAACUAGGAUAUCCCAAGAUUAAAGAGAGACUGAAAUCUCGAAGUGACAACUAAGGUUUGUUUUUAUACUUUGAAGUCUUUUUAUGGCUUCAAGUCAAUUGUUUGGAUUUCGAUUUUAGUAGAAAUUAGAUCCCUAUCCUUCACAGUGACUGGACAACAUAAUUAACUCAUAAUAUUGAUUGAUUAUUGUUCUAAAAUGAGAAAGACAAUCAUCAGAUAUUAAAUUAUUCUAAUCUUUUACCAAGUAUAUAAAAAUUAUUUUUAUUGAAAUGGUAGUAUGUCAUUUAUUGUAUCAUUUAUAAUAAAAAAUUAUUGUUCAAACGCGAAUGAAUCUUUUUCUUCUGGUCAAUCAUUUGAAAUAGAUUAUUCAAAUCUUUUUACACGAUUCAAAAAUGCAGGGUUGAAAUAAAUUUAUUAAAAUAAAUUAGAAAAGGGAUUCAAAAAACGGUUACUGUAAGUAUUCAAAUUGAUGCCCAUCUUGAUCAAUGUAUUUACGGCAACGAGCAGCUCCGGCGAAGAAUAUCUGUGAAGAGUUUUAAAUUCUUCUUCAAUUGAUGAUAGGAGGUCGGGAAGGGUGCGUGGUCCUUGAGAAGGUCCACAGGAAGAACGUCUUCCACAUUGUUGAUCGAUUUGGUAGCGGCGAGUUCGGAAAUUGUUAUUGAAAUUCGGUAAACAUAGUUUCGUAAUUCCGCUUUCGUACGUAGAUACGACGUAAUAAGAAACUCUUUCUUGAAGCGUGAACUUUUAUCAGUUAUUCAUUCUGAAAACGCGUAUACUCAAUGAUAACGUGUUAUCAUGACACAGACACAACUAUCUGAAUGACGAAUAUGCUUCGUUUUAUUCUUUUUUGACAGCAUUGCCGGAUUUAUGAGCGUUGCCGGACUUAUGCCGAUUUUUCGAGAGCGUAGUCUGAUUUAUGCCGAUCUCUGUAUAAGUUGGAUAAGCUGAAAAACUCAAAUUUCUCCAUUUCAAAUAGCAUGCAGUGGCUUAAAAGUUUUACAAAAUAUAGAAUAAAUUCAAAUUUGGGAAUAAUUCUUCUAAUUUUUGCAUUGGGGUUUUCGUAAUCUGAUAGUAGUAAUGUCCUCAAAUAGAGUCUGAAAACACUGUUUCUAUUAAAUAAGAUCAGUAGAUCUUCCUUCCAUUUAAAAACUUCAAAAUCAAAAGUAAUACCGUCUGUUCCAAAACUUAAAGUGGAGUUUUAAUGAUUCAAAAUAUUUAUUACAUCGCACUUAUAGUUAUAAAAAAAUAAUACGUAAAAUUGAAGAGCAGCUCGAACAGUUUGGUUUGUUGGCAGCAGUUGUAAUGUGUCCACCGCCAACCACUGAAAAACCGAACCUUAACAUUGACAAACGCUAGUAGCGAAGAUAACGACUGAAGAACAGAAAGUGAUAAAGACUGAAAGUAGUCGAAACAUCUUUUAAAAAUUAUAAAAAAAAACUACUUUAAAACAGAAGAGACCUAUAAAAGGUCAUAAGAAAUUGAAGAAAUAUGAAUUAGAACGAAGUGUUUGCCAGUUAGAUUAUCAGCGUUUCUGUAGUAGGAUUGUGCCAAAAUUAAAUACCAAAGUGUACUAACUCUAAUUUAUUCCGAGCUUUCAAAUAUUUAUGUAUUAAUCGUCUGGCAAUCAAUUAGUUAAAAAUCGCGGUGUGACAAAUUUUGUAAUAUCUCUUAAAAAACAGUAAAUUCAUCUUCUUGAAAAUUCAAUAUUCAAAUUGACGAUUAAUAAAAAUGUUAAGCGUAUUGAUUCUAAUGCCAAAAAGUCAUUUUGAAAUUAGAAAUUGAAUAUUAUAUAAAUUCUUGUUUUUUCGAUUUUGAAGACAAACAGGAUUCAAAAACAUCCAUUUCUGUCUUAUUUUCAAUAUCUUUGUUGCUUGUACAAACCAUAAAAAGACAACAAUGUUUUGUACGAAAGACCUUAAUUUUUCUACGCCUAAAUAUUUAUUGUGUAUCUUUUACGUUUAAUAUAAUGAAUAAACAAUCCUGAGGCCAUCAAUCGCUAAGUUUAUGGGACACAUUAUCAAUCGAUUAAUAAAGUGAAUUAUUAAAGGAUUCUCUUUUAUUUCACUAUUAUCAAAAAUUUCAUCAAUUUCGUAAAUUGGAUAUAUUUUUUCUAUAAUAUUUUUUUUAAUAUUCGUGCUAACGACUAUGAAUGUAGUUCAUUUCAAAUAUUUUUUAUUCACCUCAAAAAACGCAUAGCACAGUUUUCUCUUUAUUGUAUCAGGCAGUCUUUAAUUUUUUAUUUCUUAGACCUUUAGAUAUAUUUAUGCUUCUAUUCUUCUCGAUUUUAGAUCUCUUCUGUUUCAAAAUUAGUUUUUUUAAUAAUUUUUAUAAGAUAGAUAAAAUUUGACGUUUGGACUAAUUUUAACCUUUUAUCAAAAUAUUUUUAUCUAUCUUCUGAAGAUUAUUAGAAAAAAUAAUUUUGAAUCAGAAGAGGAAACCUAAAAUCAAGAACAGUUAAAAAAAUUUAUUAUUAUUUCCCGAUAGAAUCAUGUGUUCCUGUUUCCACCAGAUCGAAUUCUCAAAAUAGCCAAAAAUUAACUCAAGUAGUUUAAUUUUUUCCUUUUUGUGAUAUAUUCAUUCUAUUUUUGGCAUUUUUUGUUGUAGAUUAUUAAUUAUCUAAUUUGUUUAAGAAAAACUCUUGAUAUAAUAAUCUAUAUCUAUCACGUAUAACACAAACAAUAUUGACUUAUUCAAGAGAAAUUUUUUUCUUGUUAUUCUUAACUCAAAGUUAUUAUCAAUGCAUACCACGCUCUUCAAAAGAUCUCUUGAUAGAUUAUUGUGAGGUGGUGUCUAGAGCGUUCUUUAUGAAAGCUGCUAGGGUAAUAUCUUUGCUUUUAAUAGCCUCUUCUAUGUGUAGGCAAUGUAGUGCUUCUGCAGAGGACUCAUCUUUUUGAUAGGUGAACUGUUUUGUGUGAAGUGGCCUUCUUGCGACAGCCGUACUCCUUGUGAAUGAUUCUAUAGCUUUCAUCAUAGGUUUUGGAAGGAAGGAGAUGAGGAUGAUAGGACGGUAAUCUUGAAUCUUGGUGCUUCGAAAAGUUUGUCAAGAUGUUUCUUCAUUAUUUCGAAGCAUGGAAAAAAUCGAUAUUUACCAGCUGAUUUCUAUGGUCUAAAGUUUUUACUAGAACAUUUUCCACUUUAUUCUCUUUAUUAAAAAAGAUUUGUCGUGUCAUGCCAAACUUUUGCUUCUUCUGUUAGGAUCGCUCCUUCUUUCCCCCAGUAUGCUCUUCUGGUUUUCAGAAUUUAUGAUUUUUGAGCCUGGUAAGUGAGUUUUUGGGAUCUCCAAUGUAAUGUUCUUGGAUUUUGGAUUUUGGAGUAGUACAAUUCCGUUUAAAUGUGUUUUGUUCUUAAGUUCCUUGGCAUAGUUUGUAAAGGCUGUUCUAUAAAUUGCCUAAUUGUCAGAAUAUAUUUCGUUUUUGAACCACUUUUCUACCUUAGACCUCUAGCGGUCCAGGUUCCUGUUUCUCCAAGGCACAUAUCCAUGGAAUGUCUUUGAUUUUACUGUGCAGUUGUUUUCAUCUGCCACCAUAAUUAAGUAAUGGUAAUUGACUUGCUUCUAGUUCCUAUGUUAUGAGAAUAUUCUUCCAGACACAACUAGGGGCUCUCAACAUCCGUCAAUUUAGUGAGUUUUUGAUUUCUCUGUUCUUUUGUGUGAGUCGUUAUUACCUCUAGGCCAAAUCUGAUACUUAGAUUAUUGGACAAGUUUUAUAUAUCGCAUUUUUCAAUAUUUUUAGAGUUUAAAUAUUUAAAAUGAUACUCACCUCUUGCAUUGUUAUCAGUGUUGCCUCAUCCAAUUUGUUGAUGUGUAUUAUCUCUUAAACAUUCCUAUAUAUUUAGCCAGGUCUAGAACGGAUUUUCAUCAGCAUUAUUAUUAUUAUUAUUAUUAUUAUUAUUUUUGUGAAAAUAACAUUUCCAAUAAAAUUCAUUUUUGUAGUGGAAAACAUUAAAAAAAGAAUACGAAUCAUAAAUGAACAACUAAGCACGGAUAAAAUUUGAUUGGUUUUUUAUCAAAUUUGAAUUUGAUUUUUGAGAUAUGGAAUAUUGUAUACACCACGGAAGUUACUAGUUUUUAAUUCCAUCGGGAUACUCAUUUCCCCGUUAAUUUUCUGGAAGAACUUUCUCAAAUUUUAAAUAUCUAUUCUUCACAUACUAUAUUAAAAUAUGUGAUAAGACUAUUCGGAAUAUGCGCAUUCUAAUGUUAAGUGGUCAGCAUUAUUUUAUUGAAAUGUGAUAUUAAAUGUUUUGUCUAUAGUUGAGGAGGCUUUUUUAAUAAUAUACCUCGUAAUUCAAUUAAUGAAAUAAUUAAUUUUUCUUAAAUGUAGGUAUCUUGAUAUCAGUGCGUCUGGUAUUGGUAUAUCGGAUAUCUCAAAUUAUAUACUGAGAUCUCAAUAACGGUUAAAGAUGAACGCUUAACUUAUGGCAAAGCUGCACAGGGAAUUAUAAGUGAACGUAAUUAGAUUUCCAACACCCGUUCUCUUUACCUUUUAUAUAAUUCAAAAUAUACAGGGUGAUUUAUUAGUGUGAUAAAGUUCAGUGCAUCCUUUGUCCUUUGAGAUAUCAUUUGAGGGAUUAUAUUCAUCAUUAAUCUUCAUAUUUUGAAAUCAUUUAAAAUCUCAUAGGGAAAUUAUUUACAAUCUUACUAUUAAUAGUUAAAUAAUUAGGAACAUAAUCAUUGUUUUGUACAGAAAAAUCAAAAUAUUUCUAAUAAUUUUAGGUAUAGGGAAGUAUGCUUUUUGAUGCUCAUAUACAAUACAGGAUGAUUAAUUUGAAUUCAUCUAGAAAAGAAUGAAUAACUAUUUUGAUACUCCCUGUAUCAGAUUCAAUGAAUAUUAACGAAAUAAAUAAUUUUCCAAAAUUUUUUUUACUAUUCGGAUGCUUUGGCAGCAAGCAGGUUUCUCUUACAUUGUACAGGGUAUUGAAUUUGUUGCAAUUUUUAUGAAAAAUUAGUUAUAACUUGUUAAAUACUCCGUAGAAUGCAUCACAACUCUACAUUAUUAUAAUAGGGAAGUCAAGCUGAUUCCAAAUAUGCCAUAAAAUAUGGGGUUUUUCAUUUAGGCAAAUAUAACGUUGAUAUAGCACAGCAUUCUGGAAUACCCUGUAAGAUUGUAAAUGAUUUGAAAAUAUGGAGACUGAAGAUGGUUAUAAUCCUUCAAAUUUUCGACUUGAUAUCUCAAAGGACAAAGAAAGCACUGAAUUUUGUCACACUAAUCAAUCUUCCUGUAUGUUUUCUUUGAUUCUUGGGAUACCAAAGAAUAGUUGAAUACUUAAAUCAUCUAUUAUCAGUCAAAACUUUUAUAAUCAGUUUUAAAUAAUAUGAAAAUUCUCACAGAUGCCUCAAACUUAUUUCACAAUCACUUUAGACGAUUUAGAUCUCUUAAUUACUUACAAGCUAUCAUAAAAACUAAAUAAAACUGGAUUUUCAUUUUUUAUAUCAUUUUCAAGGCUUUUAGAGAGACAGUAUUCGGAAAUAAAAAAAUAAACUGUACGUGUGAGUCGGUGUUGAUAGGGAAUGAGUGGUUAAUUAAAUCAUCACAUAUUUUUUUGCAAAAGAAAUAGAUAUGAAUGAAGCAGAAUAUUGACGAGGAUUGUCCCAGAAGUACCUGGCCCAACAAAAAAACACAAAAAUUUCAGAAAAAAAUAUACUUUUUUUCAACGUAAUCUCUUUUCAGAUCCAUACACUUAUCCCAGCAAUGUUCAAUCAGUUCGAUACCCUUUUUAUAAUAAGAAUCGUCAAGCUCCUCAAAAUAGCCAUUAACUGCCGACAUCACCUCUUCAUUGUCCGAAAAUCUUUGACCACCGAGUUAUUUUGUCCAGUCUGGAAACAGGAAAUAAUCCUAGGGGGCUGGUAGCAAUUCAAACUUCAAUUCAUUAAUUAUGGCCAUUGCAAUAAUGGAUGUGUAAGGUGGUGCAUUGUCUUACUGAAACAACACUUUCUUCUUAGUCAAAUGCGGCCGUUUUUGCUUGAUUUCUUCGCUCGUUGCAAAAAGUUCUUACAAUAUUAGACGUUGUUUUUCCUUUUUCUAGAUAAUCAAAGCAAAACAUCUUACGAGCAUCACAAAAAACCGACGUCAUGAUCUUGCCUGCAGUUAGAACGGUCUUUGUUUUCUGUGGAGCUGGUUUUCCCUUUUCAUUCCAUUGCUUCAUUGUUCUUUUGUUUCGGGUAUGAAGUUGUGGACCCACGUUUCAUCCAUGUUUAUGAAACGGUGCAAAAAUUCAGCUUUGUUUCUGUUCCAUUGUGAGCAAACGUAGCACCCAUCUUGCGCACAGCUUUCUCAUGUACAAAUUUUCAGUUAAUAUGCGAUGAGUCUUCACCUCAUGUGGUCGAUUAGUGCGAUGUUGGUUACUUUUGAUAACGAAGGAAUAGUCUCACCCAGAGUAGAAUCUAGUUCAGCUUUUAUAUUGGUUGGAUUAACACCUUUCAAAUAAACUUAUUAUAGCAGAUAACGAUGACCAAUUUUUUUCAUGUUUGCAAAUUCACUGAAAACGUUCACUAUUGAUAGCUUACAACUACUAAACAGUGUGGCAUCUUCAAACUUGCAACAUAUGCUGUAUAGAUGGUGUACUUUCUGAUGCAGUCGUAUUUUCCAAGCAACUACCGUCUCUCUAGAUCAGGCUAGGUACUUCUGGGACCAUCAUCGUAUAAGGAAACUAAUUUGGGUGUUUGCCAUUUAAUUUUUAUAUCUACUUAUGCAGCCAUUCUAUUUAAAAAAAACUAUAAAUAAAAUAAAUUAUAUGUACUACCGAAUUCGAUGUUGUAGCUAAUUCAAUGCCAAUAUCAUCAGGGUACUUCCCCUUCAGUUUGCGCUUUAAAAUCGUCUCAAUAGAGGCUGUUAAUGCAUCUAUGAAUGGUGCUCCAUCGGUGUUAUCUUCUUCCAUUAAAAGUUUGGUCUUCGUCUUUGGUUUCUGUUUUUCUUCAAGAAAACUCCGUGGAAUUAAUCACUUUUCAUUCAUUAUUAUAUAUUCGAUUUUUUUUGGAAAACAGCAAUUUUGCAAAAUAAAAUCAUAUUUGAAGCUCUAGCUAUCUUAACUUUGUAGAUAUCUAUAAAAACGGAAAUGUUCAAAGAACUAUUUGAGUAAAAUUGAGAGAUCUAUAACUUUGAUAAGAAAAUUUUUCCAAAAUUUACCCCUAUCUAUUAGAUGACUCCAAAGAAUUUUGAAUAUGUCAGCUUGGUGGCUAAGGGGCUUACCAAAUAUUCACUUUUGAAACCCUAUUUUCUUGGACUAGUUGUCUCAUAUGGUGAGAAUGUCGUUCCAUUUCGGGGGCGGUAAUGAAUAUAUUGAAUAUUUGAUAAAAAUAAAUUAUAUCAGGACCUGGAUGAUGACUGUUAGGGUAAGAGAUGAAAACCCUCAAGGGAAUCCAUAUUCUUUUUGAUAACCACAAUCAAAUAAGUAAUUUGCGUAAUUUAAAAUUGAGGGCCGUGAUAAAAAAACAGUUGAUAUAUAGUAAAGUAUAGUAUAGUAAAGAAUGAAAUAAAAAAAUUGUUAAUAGUUGUGUGAAAAGUGAAAUCAGAGAAAUCACUGGUUUCCAAUCAUUAAAAAAAUGGGUAUGAAUAAUAAUAAUUUCCUCUUAUUAUAGUUUUCUUAAAUGUGCAACUUUGUCACAUUUUAACCAUUUUUAUAUCUCUUGCCGUUUCCGAGAUACAAAUUAUACACCCGACUCGUUACCACUUAUUUGAUAAAACCGUUUUUUGUCUUUUAGUCUAAGAUCCGAAGUAAAAUCGACCUUCACCCAUCUGUUUAAUGGAUGAAAAUAAUUUUAUAAGUAAUUUAUUAUGUUAAAAAUUAUAAAAAAAUGGGUUGACUGAAAAAAUCCUGGCCAGGCUAUAAUUAAUUAAUAAUUAAAAAAUCACUUUGUUUUUAAUUUCUACCGAUGUGUUUAAUGAAAAAAUUGUACACCAACCGUAAGUACAAAGUCUAUAGAGUAUGCAAACGUAGGGUUGACUAUAUUUUUCCUCGCCUAAUUAUUGGGUCAACCCUAUAUCAUUGUGUUCGCAAUAAAACAGCGCUUAUUUUUAUAUUUAAUUUAUAGAUUAAACAAGUAGGUGAAAAUAACUAAGACCAAAAUACCUGUUUAUACCUGUCAACCCAAUACAUAUCGGUAGAGAUUAGAAAAAAAGUGAUUUUUUAAUUAUUAAUUAAUUAUAGCUUAGCCAGGAUUAUUUCAUUCAAACCCAUUUUUUUUUAUAAUUUUUGACAUACUAAUUUACUUAUAAAAUUUUACUUCGGAUCCUCUACUAUUUAUUUCUAACAAUUUUAAUUUAAAUGCAAAUUAAAUUAUACUACAAGUAGAAGUCUUGUAUACAUGUUACUUUUUUUAAAACUUGGAUGCUUAUUACAUACUUUUUCCGCACAAUUAUAGUUUAUCAUAAACAACAAUAAGUUUUUAACUCACAAUAAUAACUGAAAAGUCUUCAGUAAUAGAAAAACUAUAGUGAGAAGAACAAAAUACGAUCAAGACAAAAAAGCAUUUUUAGGUUAGUUUUCUUUAAUACGUCAACCAAAAUAGUGGGUAUUUAAAAAUACAAAAAAGGUAGUUGGUACUGUAGACUCGUGGGAUGAAAAUAAUUUCAUUAAAUCUAACCAACAAGUUAUAUCCUAAAUUGUUGGUACAAUAUUAAUGUUUCACACAAAUAAUCAUUUUACUCAUAAAAACAGUAGGAUGAUAUCGAUUUCCAUAUUUUUUCGCAUGUCAUAUUCUGUGAUUCUAAAUCAUGUACUAAGCUGAUUCUGAUCAUCAGCCAUUUGCAGUGUAACCAUAUUGCUGUACGAAUAUACUCUUUCUAACAUUUGUCGAUAUUUAAUUGCAUUUCUAAUAUUCUUUACAAAAUCUAUGUUUACGUGUUCUUCCAUAUUUCUCAUAAAACGACCCGUGUAUGUAUAAAGAUGCUAAUCAGGGUGGCCAUUUUUCAGGUACAUCAGCUUCUCUGCCAAUCCACUUUAAGGAAAGUGCUAAUGUCGGUGGCUCUCUACAGUGAAUAUAAUGUGAAUGUGAAAACCACAAGUUAGUGCUAGUAAAGCCUCAAAUAAGGCUAUGCAGGAGAUAAUCUAAUUAUACUUUACCAUUCAACCUAACUGGUGAAAUAAUGGGAAAUUUUCUCCUAUUUUUUUUGCUCAUACAUUGAGCUUGAUCGUUUGUGUUAUAUUUCUUCCAGUAACGCUGUCUUCAUCGGUAAAUAAUUUGAAACUGAAUAACUUUAGUCCGUUCUAAUAAAUCUAGUUGGAGCACUUUUUUUAUCCUUAUUUUCUGGAAACUAAUUCCAAAACUGUCUAGUCAAUAUGUUGGAUGUAGAUUGUUUAACGAAUUGCCGACAACCGAUGAAGUAACAUGGGGAUGUUCAAACGUUACGUUGAGUCCUACAGACCUUGAAAAAACAGUAAAGUUCCGAAUGGUAAAUCCAAAAAAUGUAACCGUUUUGUGGUUUCAAAAUAAUACUGGUGGAUUCGAUUCAAAUGUUUUCCAAAAUUUUACACAGGUAAAGGCCUUAUAUAUAGUAGAAAAUGUUUUUGAAACGUUUAAUCUCAAUUUUACCAACAUAGAAAGGCUUUGGAUGGUGAGAACAACAUUGCCCAGUGAUACAACCUUCGCAAAUUGUUGUCCUAGAUUGGAACGAUUAUUUUUAAAAUCUAACGAAGGCUUGAAUUUUGAACUAACUGGGUUUAGAGGGAUGAGCCGUCUGCAUCAUUUGAAUUUGAAAUUACAGAAACUUAAACAUGUAACCAGAAAUACCUUUAGAGGUCUGAGUCGGUUGAAAACAUUGACACUGGUGCAUUGUGGAAUAGAAAGUAUAGCUGAAGGUUCUUUCGAUGAUCUUUCAAAUCUAAGAGAAAUCGAUAUAGAAGAUCAUAAUAUCACGAGAAUAGCCUCGGGUGUUUUUGAUUCUAUGCCUAAACUCACAUCUUUGACUAUUUAUGGAGACAAUAUACCCCCGCUUUCGCUCAGUAUGUUCAAAAAUCAAAAAAAAUUGAUGCAAAUUGGAUUACCACUAAAUACUUGGAGAGUUGUUGAUGUUGAACAAAUACCUACCAUGUUUCCAAGACUGAAUUUCUUCUCGCAUAUCGGAACGUGGGACAAUGAACAAGACAAAUUCGAUUUGAAUAAAAGAGUAUUUCGGAGAUUAUCAGAAUUACUCGAGAAUAGUGAAAGGUUUUCGUGAAGAAUAUUUUAAAAUGAAUUAUAAUCACAUUGUUUUACGUGAGGAAUAAUUAUUAUAGUUUAUUUAUUCUAGUAUAAGUCUUUGUAUUGCUUAAACUAUAUACGAAAAUAAUAAAAUUUUGGGGAAAAAUAA